Molecule: long non-coding RNA, 385 nt
Organism: Etheostoma cragini (Arkansas darter)
Lineage: Eukaryota; Metazoa; Chordata; Actinopteri; Perciformes; Percidae
Exons: 3
Source: RefSeq, a predicted model, not a curated record
AUUACACUCCAUGGAGUAAGAACAUAUAACUUAAUAGCCUAUCAUUGCUAGAGGUAGGAUAGAAUCGUUUUCCAGACAGGGUCGGGUCAUAAAAAUAACGUUCUACGUUAGUGAACACUGGAAAAUAAUCAACAAUCGACUAAUGAGUGAGUGAGGAGCUUAUUGGCGAAUGUGUCCAUCAAGUAUUGAGAUUAAGUCAGGAAAGAGGGAGAGAGAAUGGGAUGACAGCCGCAGGUCGUAACCAAACCCGCAACAACUGCAACAAGGACUGAGCGUCUGCACACUCAACCAGGCUCCCAGGAUCCACCCUCUCAUUCACCAGUUCGCUGGUGUGGAGCGUCCACAAGAACAACUCUGCCGUGAAUGAGCUGCCACGGCCCAUCAA